Molecule: ribosomal RNA, 470 nt
Filed under: uncultured bacterium
Lineage: Bacteria
Description: bacterial SSU rRNA
Rfam family: Bacterial small subunit ribosomal RNA
Source: RNAcentral
GAUGAACGCUGGCGGCGUGCUUAACACAUGCAAGUCGAACGGACUUUAAAUGAAGCCUAGCGAUUUUAAAGUUAGUGGCGGACGGGUGAGUAACGCGUGGGCAACCUGCCUCACACAGGGGGGAUAACACUUAGAAAUAGGUGCUAAUACCGCAUAAGCGCACAGAGAUGCAUGUCUCAGUGUGAAAAACUCCGGUGGUGUGAGAUGGACCCGCGUCUGAUUAGCUAGUUGGUAAGGUAACGGCUUACCAAGGCGACGAUCAGUAGCCGGCCUGAGAGGGUGAACGGCCACAUUGGGACUGAGACACGGCCCAGACUCCUACGGGAGGCAGCAGUGAGGGAUAUUCGGCAAUGGGGGAAACCCUGACCGAGCAACGCCGCGUGAGGGAUGACGGUUUUCGGAUUGUAAACCUCUGUCCUCUGUGAAGAUAAUGACGGUAGCAGAGGAGGAAGCUCCGGGCUAACUACGUG